Molecule: long non-coding RNA, 657 nt
Organism: Felis catus (domestic cat)
Lineage: Eukaryota; Metazoa; Chordata; Mammalia; Carnivora; Felidae
Exons: 3
Source: RefSeq, a predicted model, not a curated record
UACGUGACAGUUUUGGUGUUGAGAUGGGAAGACAGCUGCUGAAGAUUCUGGGGAUGGCUUCCAGACACAGGUGAAAAUGCUCACAGAGGCCUUUGAUUCUCUGCCUCCAGGGCCUCUCUCCAGGAUCUCUGCUCACCUUCCCUCCUGUUGACUCUGCUUACUUUGUCUUCUGAGCUCUUUGAGUUUGUCUUAAUAUUUCUAGGUGAAAAGUUGGGGUGUGAGAGACUCCAGGUUUCUCGCAGUGAGACUUAGUGCACCAAAACAUUUGGGUUUGUGUCCGACUCAUCUAUAAGAUCCGUGGGCUAAAGGAAGUUAAUGAAGACACGCUACCACUAUAUUUCAUCUUCAAAACUUUUAGAUAUGCUCUUAGAGUCUCAUGAACAGCUGAGCAAAGAAGAUCAGGUCAGAUCAGAGAAUUUCUUGGGAUGGCAAAAGAUCAUGAGAGUCAUGUAGGUGAGAGGCAGACAUGCUCUGCUCUAUGAUCAAAGCAGCACAUAUACAUCCCAUCCUUGGGGAAGAAGCCAGCCUCUUCAGAGAAAGAAGAAACAAGGAAACAGAGACUAACAUCUUCCUGAAAAUUGAUGCUUGAAUAAUUGAAAGACUGAGAUUGUGUCUGUAAAGUAGUCUGCAUAAUUAAAGCCAUUUAUCUGAAACACA